CCUACGGGAGGCAGCAGUGGGGAAUAUUGCACAAUGGGCGAAAGCCUGAUGCAGCGACGCCGCGUGAGGGAUGACGGCCUUCGGGUUGUAAACCUCUGUUGUUAGGGAACAAGGCCAGUGAUUUUGUUGGUUGAGGGUACUUGGGUAAGAAGCGCCGGCUAACUACGUAACAGCAGCCGCGGU
RNAcentral lists this ribosomal RNA (183 nucleotides) under uncultured Arthrobacter sp. Its description in RNAcentral is "partial 16S ribosomal RNA". It matches the Rfam family "Bacterial small subunit ribosomal RNA", at positions 338 to 521 of the family's 1533-position model. Lineage: Bacteria; Bacillati; Actinomycetota; Actinomycetes; Micrococcales; Micrococcaceae. The record is from RNAcentral.